GAACUGGAGCUACUCCAGGUUCAGGUGUGCAUCCCUGGCCCACUGAGUAGGAUGAUGUUUGCGUGGAAGGACUGUCCUGUCUCUAGGGUCUGUGCACAACAGCAGCUGAGAAAGGUCCAGUGUCCACAGCCACUGGCCUCAGUGAACAUAAGCUUCCUUCUCCUUGCAAAUCUGUUACACAGAGUGAGCCAUGAGCUGACUCCCCUGUCCAUGAACCCACAGUUUUAAGUGUGAGAUUUGGAGGCCACUCAAAACAUACUAGGACCCUAGACUUUGUGGGAGUCAUUUAUCAUUCUGAGGACAAGGUAUGAGGGGAGAGGAGGGGCACUGCCGGGAAAGGGAAUUGAGUCUGUGUAAAUUUGGCCGUUAACAUGCAAUAUUUAUUACAGAGGUUAACCUUUAAAUAGUGUUGGCUAAAAAGAGUGUGCAACAAACAAAAUGUCCAACUUUAAGCUCAAGCCCCCCACUGUGGAUAUCAACUUCUCUAAUGUGGAAGCUGCCUGUGGGGAUGCUCACCUCUGCACACGUGCAUCCCAUGGUCCCAGACACCUGGGAAGAUGCUUAAGUUCUUUCUUCUCAUUAGAGAUCUGAGAACCAACCAGUCAAUUAAUCAGCUCAAAGGAAUAGAGUGCUGUAGCCAAGGCCCAGGUUAAAUAUUAAAAGCAUUACUUAGCUCUUGAAUUUGUAGCUGUUUAACUUGGUAAGUGGAGUUGAAGUCCCAGCCUGCUCAUGGCGAUUACUGAUUAAUGCCUGUGCACGUUUGUACAAGUCCCCCGGCUGCACGAUCGCCUGUCCUGCAGAGUGCAACUUUCCUUCAUCGAGCAGUCAACCUUCACCCAACGGGGACAGCGGACACUUCCUGAGAAGCCACCAGGCCCUGCCCCGACCCUUUACCGACUGUAGCUCGUUCAAUGAGCCUCACACCAACCUUGUAAGCAACUGGUACCGCUCAAUGUGGUGGCAGCUCCAUCAACCAGGGUCCUGGAAGGGGAGUCGUGGAGCAGAUCCUCUGGCUGGCUGGUGAUGGACGUGCAGCCUGGCUGACAGCCAAACCUUUGCUGUCAGAAGCCAUUUCUGCUGGGGGCUGUUUAUUGCUGUGGCACAGCCUAGCUGUCCUCACUGAGACUUCAAGCUGUGACUCCAGACAGGAUCCAGAGAGGGGUUCAUAGAGUCUUCUCUGGGUUUUAUGGAGACUUACUUUGCCCUUCUGUGUUAGCCUCUUAAGGCACUGUGUUAACCCUAGGCACAGGAAGGCAGGAGAAUCGCUCGAACCUGGGAGGUGGAGGUUGCAGUGAUCCGAGAUCGCGUCAUGGCACUACAGCCCGGGUGACAAAGUCUCCGUCUCAAAAAAAAAAAGGCACAGGAAA
Chlorocebus sabaeus (green monkey) is the source of this 1367-nucleotide long non-coding RNA. RefSeq lists it as uncharacterized. The record is from RefSeq and is a predicted model, not a curated record. Lineage: Eukaryota; Metazoa; Chordata; Mammalia; Primates; Cercopithecidae.